This 509-nucleotide ribosomal RNA is filed under the name uncultured bacterium. Its description in RNAcentral is "bacterial SSU rRNA". It matches the Rfam family "Bacterial small subunit ribosomal RNA", at positions 226 to 728 of the family's 1533-position model. The record is from RNAcentral.
UGAGCCUGCGUUAGAUUAGCUAGUUGGUAGGGUAAAGGCCUACCAAGGCGACGAUCUAUAGCUGGUCUGAGAGGACGACCAGCCACACUGGAACUGAGACACGGCCCAGACUCCUACGGGAGGCAGCAGUGGGGAAUAUUGGACAAUGGGCGAAAGCCUGAUCCAGCAAUACCGCGUGUGUGAAGAAGGCCUUAGGGUUGUAAAGCACUUUCAAUUGGGAGGAAAACCUGCCGGUCAAUACCCGGUAGCUUGACAUUACCUUUAGAAGAAGCACCGGCUAACUCCGUGCCAGCAGCCGCGGUAAUACGGAGGGUGCGAGCGUUAAUCGGAAUUACUGGGCGUAAAGCGUGCGUAGGCGGUUCGUUAAGUCAGAUGUGAAAGCCCUGGGCUCAACCUGGGAACUGCAUUUGAAACUGGCGGACUAGAGUUUAGUAGAGGGGAGUGGAAUUUCAGGUGUAGCGGUGAAAUGCGUAGAUAUCUGAAGGAACACCAGUGGCGAAGGCGACUCC